This 336-nucleotide ribosomal RNA is filed under the name Triticum aestivum (bread wheat). Its description in RNAcentral is "partial small subunit ribosomal RNA". Lineage: Eukaryota; Viridiplantae; Streptophyta; Magnoliopsida; Poales; Poaceae. The record is from RNAcentral.
AUGUUGGACGCGAGCCCGCCGGGUGAUGGAGGAGGCGACGGCAUCGGCGGCUUUGGCGGUGUCAGGGAGCAGGACAGGUUCCUGCCCAUCGCCAACAUCAGCCGCAUCAGGAAGAAGGCCAUCCCGGCCAAUGGCAAGAUUGCCAAGGACGCCAAGGAGACCAUGCAUGAGUGCGUCUUUGAGUUCAUCUGCUUCAUCACCAGCGAGGCGAGUGACAAGUGCUAGAGGAAGAAGCGCCAGACCAUCAACGGUGACGACCUGCUCUAGGCGAAUGCCAUGCUGGGCUUUGUGGACUAUAUCGAGCCCCUCAAGGUUUAUCUGUAGAACUACAGAUAG